Molecule: ribosomal RNA, 344 nt
Filed under: uncultured bacterium
Lineage: Bacteria
Description: bacterial SSU rRNA
Rfam family: Bacterial small subunit ribosomal RNA
Source: RNAcentral
GGGCCCGCACAAGCGGUGGAGCAUGUGGUUUAAUUCGAUGCAACGCGAAGAACCUUACCAGGGCUUGACAUACUACAGAUCUUUUUGAGAAAGAAGAGUGCCUUCGGGAAUGUAGAUACAGGUGGUGCAUGGCUGUCGUCAGCUCGUGUCGUGGAGUUGGUUAGUACCCGCAACGAGCGCAACCCUUAUUUUUAGUUACCAACUUGUUGGGUUCUCUAGAAAGACUGCCGGUGACAAACCGGAGGAAGGUGAGGAUGACGUCAAGUCAGCAUGCCCCUUAUGUCCUGGCUACACACGUGCUACAAUGGCUAAGACAAAGAGUUGCGAGUUCGUGAGAACCAGCU